CCUACGGGGGGCAGCAGUGGGGAAUAUUGGACAAUGGGGGGAACCCUGAUCCAGCCAUGCCGCGUGUGUGAAGAAGGCCCUCGGGUUGUAAAGCACUUUCAGUGAGGAAGAACGCCUGGUGGUUAAUACCCAUCAGGAAAGACAUCACUCACAGAAGAAGCACCGGCUAACUCCGUGCCAGCAGCCGCGGUAAUACGGAGGGUGCGAGCGUUAAUCGGAAUUACUGGGCGUAAAGCGCGCGUAGGUGGCUUGAUAAGCCGGUUGUGAAAGCCCCGGGCUCAACCUGGGAACGGCAUCCGGAGCUGUCAAGCUAGUGUGCAGGAGAGGUAGGUAGAAUUCCCGGUGUAGCGGUGAAAUGCGUAGAGAUCGGGAGGAAUACCAGUGGCGAAGGCGGCCUUCUGGACUGACACUGACACUGAGGUGCGAAAGCGUGGGUAGCAAACAGGAUUAGAUACCCGAGUAGUC
Molecule: ribosomal RNA, 465 nt
Filed under: Vreelandella stevensii
Lineage: Bacteria; Pseudomonadati; Pseudomonadota; Gammaproteobacteria; Oceanospirillales; Halomonadaceae
Description: partial 16S ribosomal RNA
Rfam family: Bacterial small subunit ribosomal RNA
Source: RNAcentral